GGAAACUUUGCUGUUUUCACCGUUAGUGAGGAGCGGUCAAGGAUGCGUAUUAAGAAAAUAACUAGAAGUGGCCGCAUGAUGUACCUCUCACCAAUGAGAUGCCUGUCAAGGGUAUACGUGGGUCUUUUGAUGCACUAGGCUAGGAUGUUGGCGAAGAGUAGCAUAUGUAUCUUCAAUUUCAACCUAAGCCAAAAAAUAAAAAUAAAUAAGAAGAAGCAUCCCCAAGAGGCAAUGGCAAAUUGAAUAAGCAGAUCUACUGGUAAUUGCUUUAUGAAUCUGGGAGCUCCAGACCUAGGAUCUUAUUCACUGAUUUGAAGAGUUCAUGCAUGGAGCCAGUAGGCGGUACACAUGGGUAAAAACUGGCUGCGGCUAAACAGGAAUGCUGAUGUUUCGUGGAGACGGGGAUUGUCACUCUACCUCUUGUCCAAGCAUAAACCUGGGGGCACUCCUUCUGUGAGAAUGCAGUCUGAAAGGCUGUCUACAGAUGCACCCGUGAUAGGUUACCUUGGGAGAACCCCCAGCUGUGUCUGCAGUGUUUCAGGGUCAUAUAGCUGUGAGAAUUGCGGUCAUGUACGUGAAGCUUUAUACCUAAGUGUCAGCACAUCAUUAGACAGAAAAGAAAGUUAUAUCACAAGGAAAAGAUUAAGCCCUGGUCACAUCCUGCAUCUUCUUCAGUAAACACUCUGGUUGGAUGACUUGAUGAAAGCCAACAAUCUUUUGAUUUCUCUCUUCACCUAUAUCAGCAGACCCAAAUACAGUUAAUAAAUGGUUAAAGGUUGAUAACCAUCACACCCAUUCCAACAACAUCCAUCCAAAUGGAAGAUGCCUUGAUUGCAACAGUAUCUGGGGAAUAAUGCUACGGGUGACUGAUAAACCCUGUUUUUGAUGAUGUUGAUGUGGAAUCUUUAUUUUAUUUUAUUAGCAUAUAUAAAAACCCAGUUGACAAAAUUUAUGAAAACUUCACACCUCCCUGGCCUAAGAUUUUUCCCUUGGUCUUAUUAAAUUUGAAAGCCACCUGCUUUAGGCUUCAUAAACUUUCACCUUUUAAAAUAACCACAGGCCAUUCUAUGUCCUUAGCUUUCUCUGCUACUGACCCUCAGUUA
This 1103-nucleotide long non-coding RNA is filed under the name Pan troglodytes (chimpanzee). RNAcentral describes it as "long non-coding RNA NONPTRT014179". The record is from RNAcentral. Lineage: Eukaryota; Metazoa; Chordata; Mammalia; Primates; Hominidae.